GGGGGGGGGGGGGGGGGGGGCGGGGGGAGGGGGGGGGGGCGGGGGGGGGAGGAGCGUGCUUUUCUUAGCUUAGUGGCGAACGGGGGAGUAACGCGGGGGUAACCUGGCCUGGAGUGGGGGACAACAGUUGGAAACGACUGCUAAUACCGCAUAAGCCCACGAUCCGGCAUCGGAUUGAGGGAAAAGGAUUUAUUCGCUUCAGGAUGGACUCGCGUCCAAUUAGCUAGUUGGUGAGGUAACGGCCCACCAAGGCGACGAUUGGUAGCCGGACUGAGAGGUUGAACGGCCACAUUGGGACUGAGACACGGCCCAGACUCCUACGGGAGGCAGCAGUGGGGGAUAUUGCACAAUGGGGGAAACCCUGAUGCAGCGACGCCGCGUGGAGGAAGAAGGUUUUCGGAUUGUAAACUCCUGUCGUUAGGGACGAUAAUGACGGUACCUAACAAGAAAGCACCGGCUAACUACGUG
This 468-nucleotide ribosomal RNA is filed under the name uncultured bacterium. RNAcentral describes it as "partial 16S ribosomal RNA". The stretch from base 51 to 468 matches the Rfam family "Bacterial small subunit ribosomal RNA", at positions 39 to 507 of the family's 1533-position model. The record is from RNAcentral.